RNAcentral lists this ribosomal RNA (460 nucleotides) under uncultured bacterium. RNAcentral describes it as "partial 16S ribosomal RNA". It matches the Rfam family "Bacterial small subunit ribosomal RNA", at positions 338 to 795 of the family's 1533-position model. The record is from RNAcentral.
CCUACGGGUGGCAGCAGUGAGGAAUAUUGGUCAAUGGGCGAGAGCCUGAACCAGCCAAGUCGCGUGAGGGAAGACGGUCCUAUGGAUUGUAAACCUCUUUUGUCGGGGAGCAAAAAGGCCUCGUGAGGCCACAAGUGAGAGUACCCGAAGAAAAAGCAUCGGCUAACUCCGUGCCAGCAGCCGCGGUAAUACGGAGGAUGCGAGCUUUAUCCGGAUUUAUUGGGUUUAAAGGGUGCGCAGGCGGAAGAUCAAGUCAGCGGUAAAAUUGAGAGGCUCAACCUCGUCGAGCCGUUGAAACUGGUUUUCUUGAGUGAGUGAGAAGUAUGCGGAAGGCGUGGUGUAGCGGUGAAAUGCAUAGAUAUCACGCAGAACUCCGAUUGCGAAGGCAGCUUACCAAGCUACUUCUGACGUUGAGGCACGAAAGCGUGGGGAGCAAACAGGAUUAGAUACCCGGGUAGGC